GAGGAGAUGACUGGGUGGUAGAAUGCCUGCCUUACAUGCAUGAGGCCUGGGUUCAGUCCCAGUCACUUUG
RNAcentral lists this transfer RNA (70 nucleotides) under Erinaceus europaeus (western European hedgehog). It matches the Rfam family "tRNA". Rfam says of the family: Transfer RNA (tRNA) molecules are approximately 80 nucleotides in length. Their secondary structure includes four short double-helical elements and three loops (D, anti-codon, and T loops). Lineage: Eukaryota; Metazoa; Chordata; Mammalia; Eulipotyphla; Erinaceidae. The record is from Rfam by way of RNAcentral.